RNAcentral lists this small nuclear RNA (107 nucleotides) under Mus caroli (Ryukyu mouse). Lineage: Eukaryota; Metazoa; Chordata; Mammalia; Rodentia; Muridae. The record is from RNAcentral.
GUGCUCGCUUCGGUAGCACAUAUACUAAAAUUGGAACCAUACAGAGAAAAUUAGUAUGGCCCCUGUGCAAGGAUGACACACAAAUUCGUGAAGCAUUCCAUAUUUUU